Molecule: long non-coding RNA, 287 nt
Filed under: Linum usitatissimum (flax)
Lineage: Eukaryota; Viridiplantae; Streptophyta; Magnoliopsida; Malpighiales; Linaceae
Description: long non-coding RNA (LUSI_LNC000836)
Source: RNAcentral
GUUCGGUCCCCGAUGGCGUUUGAAGAGGCGGGCUGCCUCCUACAGAACCAACUUGGGAGGCGGGAUUCGGUUUAGCAGAAUCAUUAGGAGGAUCAGAGACUUUACUCGGUGGUGGAACCACAGUAGCUGUAUCAUUACUGCCUGUAGGUGCAGCUGGAGCCGUUCCGAUACCCAUCGGUGAAACAUUGUUAAGAGGCCGUUGUUCAUGCUGACGUUGAUCAGUUUGUGACUUGAUCGGCAAGCAGCCCACAUUCUUCUGAUUAUUCUGUUUAAGCAUUCUCUGAACU